UCGCUUUAAAGCUCUGACGCUGCUUCCUUCAGUACCCUGCCGCAGACUCGCCAUCGGCCUCGCCUAUCUCUGACAAACAGAACCUGACGGGACCGGGAUCGGACCGGAGCAACAUGACGGAAACCAGUAAGACGCACGUCAUCCUGCUGUCCUGCGGCAGCUUCAACCCCAUCACCAAGGGACACAUCCAUAUGUUCGAAAAAGCCAGAGAAUAUCUGCACCAAACAGGACGUUUCAUUGUGAUCGGAGGGAUCAUCUCACCGGUCCACGACUCCUACGGGAAACAGGGCCUGGUGUCGAGCCAACAUCGCCUCACCAUGUGUCAGCUGGCCGUCCAGUCUUCUGAUUGGAUCAGGGUGGACCCCUGGGAGUGUUACCAGGACACCUGGCAGACCACCUGCAGCGUGUUGGAGCAUCACCGUGACCUCAUGAAGAGAGUCACCGGCUGCAUCCUGUCCAACGUCAACACGCCCUCCACCACUCCAGUCAUUGGUCAGCCACAGAACCAGACUCCACCCAUCUACCAGGACCAUAACAACAUGAACCACAAGCCCACAACCAUCAAACUUUGGGGGAAGAUCAGCGAAAGUUUGGGUAAAAUCUGCUGCGUUCGGCCCAACAUGGAGCGCUUCACGUUUGUUGAUGAAAACGCCAACCUGGGGACCGCGGUGAGGUACGAGGAGAUCGAGUUACGCAUCUUGCUCCUGUGUGGCAGUGAUCUCCUGGAGUCCUUCUGCAUCCCUGGCCUGUGGAAGGACAGUGAUAUGGAGGUCAUUGUGGGCGAUUUUGGGAUUGUGGUCGUUCCUCGUGAUGGUGUGGACACAGAGAGGAUCAUGAGUCAUUCCUCCAUCCUUCGCAAAUACAAGGACAACAUCAUCGUGGUGAAGGACCUGACCAACCACCCGAUGUCCAUCGUCAGCUCCACCAAGAGCAGAUGGGGUUAGCGCCGGUUGUGUUGGAGGACAAGCGUGCGACCCACAUUCAGGUCCUUCAGAGAAGCUCAGAGCGGAGAUUUAAAGGCCAGGAAAGAAUUGGAGCUUUAAUGGACCAGAACAAAUUCAUGCAGACUGGCCCUGCAGCACGGAGACGGACACGUCGUGGACUACCUGAGUCAACCCGUCAUCGACUACAUCCUGCAGAGCCAGCUGUACAUCAACGCCUCGGGAUAGGGUCGCUGACCCACCUGCAUGAGAACCGGGACUAAUAUGGAGGGUGGGGGGUUAAACAGCUACCAUCUAUAUGAACACCCCACCAGCCCCCCUGCAGAAAAACCAAACCUGUCUGUCUUCUGUGUCAACAUAUUCUCUUCUUUGAGCUUUCUAACAGGAGCUUCGGUGUCCCUCCUUCUGUGUCAUGUGACUUUAUCUUCAGAGGGGAUUGGUGGGGCGGGGGGGUCAGGGUCUUUGAGUUUAAAGGUUAGAGGUGCAUGACAGGGUUGGACAUGCUCUGUGUUCAUGGACUCCCCGUCUAUAUCAGGGUGAGGACUUCAGGGUCUUCAUGCAACACUUCAGUUGGUUGAUGAAGAGCUGAAGGAUUUCUGGGAGGCUAAAAAUCACUUUUCUGAUUGACUGAGUUUAAUCUGAAAUCUGCUGCAGACCAACAAACUUUAGAUUUAAAUCAUGUUGCUAACAUUUGUAUCUAAUGUUGGAGAAUCCAUCAGUUUUUCUGCAUUUCAUUCUGGUCCGAUCCCAGAUCAUCUUCUCAGCCUUCAGUUGUUGCUGAAAAUGUCAAUCCCAGACACAAGGAAAAUCUGACAGUAAAGAUGUUGUCCAAGAACCUUUUAAUUGUAGUGAUCCUCAGGUGUGAUGUAAACACAGCUACAUGAAACAACGGGGGACAUAAAGCAUAAAGAACCGCUGAAACCACUGUGAUGAAGCCAUAACUAGAGCCCAUUCAGAAAAUAGCUCAUUAAGAUUUCCUCAUGUAAAAAAUACCAAGACAUGCAGCAGUAAAACCGGAUCAGAAACACCAGAACCGGAUAGUUCCUCUGAACCCUCUAACCAGCUGAAACCCGAGACUACGGCUGAUUCUGCUCAGAUUCUCCUCUUUUAAAACAACACCUGCUGUGUGGCUCAUUAAUUAAGAUCUAAAUCCGUAGAUGUGUAAAUGAACUCUGUAGUUCUGCAGCAUGGCCGCCAUAUUGGAUCUUGAUGACAAACCUCAAGGGAAAAUUGAAACUUUGGGGGAGAAAAAAUGUUUUUUAGUUCCAAAGUCUGAACCAGUUCACACAUGAUAAACUCUGACCUGCUUUAGGACAAUCAUGUAGGACCAUCCAACCUUCUUUUAUGAAGCAUUUUUCCUGCUCAUCGCUGCUGGCCGCCAUGAUGUCAUGUGAUGUUUGCCAACAUGUGGACAGAGUGUCAUCUGGACACUUCACUACAAACCAAAGGGUGCAGCAGAACAUUUAGUGAAUUUAAUGAUUCCAACCUUAACCCCAAACAUUUAUAACAGCAGCAACAUGUUCUUCUUCUUCUUCACCUGAGCCUUUUGACCCAAAGGUUAUUUUAGCCCAUUAACAGUAAAUGAAUCUACAACAGUGUUUCUGAAAGGACGUAACUUCACAGCAUAAAGAGCUGUUCCCACCUCUGCUAGCUUAUACAUAAAGAAGGUUCCUGUUUAGAACAUGAAGGUGUUCUUGAGGGACACCUGGAGGUUUCUUCAAAACUUUCAACCACAGAUCUGUGAACAUGUUGACCUGCAGGGUAACUGCUGCGAUGCUUCACGCUGCGGGGAGACUUUACAACAACAAGCAUUGGAGGAGAUGUUGAUGAAGAUGGUGAUGAUGAUGAUGGGUGUUAUGAUAAUGUGAUGAUGAUGAUGAUGAUGAUGAAGAAGCACCUGUUGUAAAGCAUUCAGGAGAGUUUUUUCUCAGUUUGCUCCUGUUUUUAAUCUGCAUGCUUUCUUCUUCUGACUGCUUGGUUCUGGCAUGAACGUUUAUCACUCGUUAGAUUAUUAUGGUCUGUUGUGAACGUGUUUGGGAAAUAAAAAUAAUUUUACUAUAUAAAUAUAGAUCGAAAUAAACCGUAGCUUCAGUGGAGAUCAUCUUCAACGUCAGCUCAUUGUUGAUUCACUCUGUAAGUGUACCAACCUGAGUGUGUGUGUGUGUGUGUGUGUGUGUGUGUGUGUGUGUGUGUGUGUGUGUGUGUGUGUUUGAUCCAAGGAUAUCAGGUUCAUGUUGGUCACCCUCUGUUAGAACAUGUAUUUCUCAGCCGGUUCCUGUUAUAAACUCAGUGUGAGAGAAUCUAGCAGCAUGAAUGAGUCUUUGCAGAUCAGGAUGUACAUUUAUAUAAAGUGUUUCAGGACGUUUGGUCAAAUAAAUCUGAGGAGGCACUAAAACAUUUUCUUUUAAGCUUUAUGAAUUCAGUCAUUAUUCAAUUAUGGUUACAUUUACACCCUCUGCUGGCGAAAUAAAGUAUUUCUUCUAAGAAAUCCA
RNA transcript from Girardinichthys multiradiatus, 3433 nucleotides. It is a transcript of the gene named nicotinamide nucleotide adenylyltransferase 2, with no coding region annotated. Lineage: Eukaryota; Metazoa; Chordata; Actinopteri; Cyprinodontiformes; Goodeidae. The transcript has 12 exons. The record is from RefSeq and is a predicted model, not a curated record.